GCACGGAUGGCCGAGUGGUCUAAGGCGCCAGACUCAAGCGAAUAGCUUCACACGAGUUCAGUGUGUGUAAGGGGCCUUCUGGUAUCGUAAUCGAUGCGUGGGUUCGAAUCCCACUCCGUGCA
RNAcentral lists this transfer RNA (122 nucleotides) under Thelazia callipaeda (thelaziosis nematode). It matches the Rfam family "tRNA". Rfam says of the family: Transfer RNA (tRNA) molecules are approximately 80 nucleotides in length. Their secondary structure includes four short double-helical elements and three loops (D, anti-codon, and T loops). Further hydrogen bonds mediate the characteristic L-shaped molecular structure. tRNAs have two regions of fundamental functional importance: the anti-codon, which is responsible for specific mRNA codon recognition, and the 3' end, to which the tRNAs corresponding amino acid is attached (by aminoacyl-tRNA synthetases). tRNAs cope with the degeneracy of the genetic code in two manners: having more than one tRNA (with a specific anti-codon) for a particular amino acid; and 'wobble' base-pairing, i.e. permitting non-standard base-pairing at the 3rd anti-codon position. Lineage: Eukaryota; Metazoa; Nematoda; Chromadorea; Rhabditida; Thelaziidae. The record is from Rfam by way of RNAcentral.